Molecule: signal recognition particle RNA, 304 nt
Filed under: Phascolarctos cinereus (koala)
Lineage: Eukaryota; Metazoa; Chordata; Mammalia; Diprotodontia; Phascolarctidae
Description: Metazoan signal recognition particle RNA (ENSPCIG00000027176.2)
Rfam family: Metazoan signal recognition particle RNA
About the family: The signal recognition particle (SRP) is a universally conserved ribonucleoprotein. It is involved in the co-translational targeting of proteins to membranes.
Source: Rfam by way of RNAcentral
GCCCUGUAUGGUGGUUUAUGCUUGUAAUCCUUGCUAUUGGGGAGACUAACGCUGGUGGAUUGCUUGAGUUCAGGAGCUCUGAAUGGCAGAGCAUUAAGUUGAUUAUGUGCCCCCCUAAGUGGAGCAUUAAUAUAGUGAGCAGAGACAGGGAGGGGAAGGAAUUGGAUCAGAUUGUCUAAGGAGAAAUGAACCAGACCAGGUCAGAAAUAGACCAGGUCAAAAAUUCCAUGCUGAUUAGUGUUGGGAUUAGGUUUGUGAGUGAUCACUGCACUUCCAGCCUGGACAAUAGAGGGACUCCAUGUCU